AUGAUGAAGCUGAGGUGCCCCAACCCCAAGAAGCUCUUCAGGAGGAGCUCCUCCAAGAUCAGCAGGUCUAGUAGCAGCUGCAGCAGCAGCAGCAGCGACAACGGCAGCGACGCCGGAGGCAUUCGGGGUGGCGGCGGCAGCGGGGAGAUCGAGUGGGAGGUGCGGCCGGGGGGCAUGCUGGUGCAGAGGAGGGACGGAAGGGGGGACGUCGAGAUCAUCACCGUCAGGGUAGCCACCGGCUACUCCUGGCACGAGGUCUCCAUUGGAGCCACCUGCACUUUUGGUGAGAAAAAAGUCAGCACGUCCCUGUUCACACAGCCAGAAGCUCUCAAUUUUACUUCCAUUUCUCCAAGUCGAGUGGUUGACCCGUGCGAGCUCCUGAACCUUCUUAUGGUGAUGUGGAGAUAUGCACGUCCAUUAGCAAGGUCUCCUGCCCUCAAGGACAUCAAGCUCCGAGCCGCGCUCGCUGCCCAGGGCGUGCAGAGCCCGUAUCAGACUUUUAUCAAGGUGUAG
This 513-nucleotide ribosomal RNA is filed under the name Triticum aestivum (bread wheat). RNAcentral describes it as "partial small subunit ribosomal RNA". The record is from RNAcentral. Lineage: Eukaryota; Viridiplantae; Streptophyta; Magnoliopsida; Poales; Poaceae.